RNAcentral lists this ribosomal RNA (474 nucleotides) under uncultured bacterium. RNAcentral describes it as "bacterial SSU rRNA". It matches the Rfam family "Bacterial small subunit ribosomal RNA", at positions 34 to 507 of the family's 1533-position model. The record is from RNAcentral.
CGCUGGCGGCGUGCUUAAUACAUGCAAGUCAACUUGACUUUAGAUAGCAAUAUCGAAAGUAGGGUGGCGCACGGGUGCGUAACGCGUAGGUAAUCUGCCCUGAGGUCUGACAUAACCCGUCGAAAGGCGGGCUAACAUCAGAUGAUAUAUAAUCACGACAUCGUGGAAAUAUCAAAUCUUCGGAGCCUUGGGAUGAGCCUGCGUCUGAUUAGGUAGUUGGCGGAGUAAUAGCCCACCAAGCCUACGAUCAGUGGGCUGGUCUGAGAGGAUGAUCAGCCACACUGGAACUGAGACACGGGUCCAGACUCCUACGGGAGGCAGCAGUAAGGAAUAUUGCUCAAUGGGGGAAACCCUGAAGCAGCAACGCCGCGUGAAGGAUGAAAUACUUUGUAUGUAAACUUCUGUAAGAUGGGAAAAAUAUUCUCCUCGGGAGAAUUGAUUGUACCAUCAGAGUAAACCCCGGCUAACUACGUG